This 534-nucleotide ribosomal RNA is filed under the name uncultured bacterium. RNAcentral's name for it is "partial 16S ribosomal RNA". It matches the Rfam family "Bacterial small subunit ribosomal RNA", at positions 355 to 882 of the family's 1533-position model. The record is from RNAcentral.
UGGGGAAUUUUGGACAAUGGGCGAAAGCCUGAUCCAGCAAUGCCGCGUGUGUGAAGAAGGCCUUCGGGUUGUAAAGCACUUUUGUCCGGAAAGAAAUCCUUGGCUCUAAUACAGUCGGGGGAUGACGGUACCGGAAGAAUAAGCACCGGCUAACUACGUGCCAGCAGCCGCGGUAAUACGUAGGGUGCAAGCGUUAAUCGGAAUUACUGGGCGUAAAGCGUGCGCAGGCGGUUUGCUAAGACCGAUNUGAAAUCCCCGGGCUCAACCUGGGAACUGCAUUGGUGACUGGCAGGCUAGAGUAUGGCAGAGGGGGGUAGAAUUCCACGUGUAGCAGUGAAAUGCGUAGAGAUGUGGAGGAAUACCGAUGGCGAAGGCAGCCCCUGGGCCAAUACUGACGCUCAUGCACGAAAGCGUGGGGGAGCAAACAGGAUUAGAUACCCCUGGUAGUCCACGCCCUAAACGAUGUCAACUAGUUGUUGGGGAUUCAUUUCCUUAGUAACUAGCUAACGCGUGAAGUUGACCGCCUGGGGAGUA